RNAcentral lists this ribosomal RNA (381 nucleotides) under uncultured eukaryote. RNAcentral describes it as "SSU rRNA". It matches the Rfam family "Eukaryotic small subunit ribosomal RNA", at positions 587 to 969 of the family's 1831-position model. The record is from RNAcentral.
AGUUCCAAUAGCGUAUAUUAAAGUUGUUGCAGUUAAAAAGCUCGUAGUUGAAUUUCUGGCUGGAAGGGAGCGGUUCCGCACUUUUGUGGAUACUUGCUCGUCUUCUGCCAUCCUUGGGCUUAGUCUCGCUGAUAUUAACUUAUCGGUGUGUACGAUGCCCAUCGUUUACUGUGAGCAAAUUAGAGUGUUCAAAGCAGGCUUAUGCCGUUGAAUAUAUUAGCAUGGAAUAAUAAGAUAGGACCUAGUGACUAUUUUGUUGGUUUGCGUUAUUAGGUAAUGAUUAAGAGGGACAGUUGUGGGUAUUCGUAUUCAGGUGUAAGAGGUGAAAUUCUUAGAUUAUCGGAAGACGAACGACUGCGAAAGCAUUUACCAAGGAUGUUU